This is a long non-coding RNA of Scylla paramamosain (green mud crab), 1310 nucleotides long. RefSeq lists it as uncharacterized. NCBI's taxonomy places the organism in Eukaryota, Metazoa, Arthropoda, Malacostraca, Decapoda, Portunidae. The record is from RefSeq and is a predicted model, not a curated record. The transcript is spliced from 3 exons.
UACUACGUGGUUAUUUCUCGUCACUCUCCAAUUCCUCUGCAGCAGAGGGAAGAGGGCGUUUGACAUUAUCUGGGAGUAGAAUAGGUUCUCGAAGUCGCGUACGUAAGGUGCUGCUGAGGUAGUGACGAAAGUACUGCAGUGGUGGGCUGGCAGGAAUGGUGGCUGUGGGGGUGAUGCAGUGAACAGUCAUGGCAAGAGUAUUGGAGUGGUAGGCUGUAAUCGAGGAGUGAUUGUGGUAGUGUGGUAAGCAGGCCACGAGGUUACUGCAGAGAUGGGCUGGGAGGAGUGAUGGUUGUAGGCAGUGUACUCGUAGGUGGUGAGCAGAAGUAAACCGCACGUCGGUGACCACCAUUCCUCCAAACUAGAGAGUAGUUGGUGUAUGGUGAUGCCACUGCCAACAUAUAUGCAGCCAUUUCUUCUGUGAUGAUCCUGUGUGCACUACUGGCUCUGUUCAUCAUUCAAGCCUUCAAGGAAUGUUCAGCCAAUUGUGCCAAGUAAGACCAGGCAUGUACUGCCAAUUGUGUUGAGAUGAAAGGUCAAGCAGCAAGCAGGAGACCGAAGGCAUUAGAAUGUACACUUGUGACCACUGUGGAAGAUAUUCUUUGGUUGGGCUGCUGCUAACAAACAUCCUCUCCUGUGCUGGCAACAGAAGAAUGAGGAGCAUCUGCAGAGUUCACUUGUAAAGGUGCAUUUUCAUAAGAGUGGACUUAUGAGAGUCUAAGGAAAAUAUAUGGUAGUCUGUUCACUGGAAGCUGAGGCAAGCAAGCUGUGUGAGCACUGAUUGACUACUGUUAUGUAUAUAAAAUCACAACUGUUCUGCUGUUUUUAAUGUGUUUAUAUAUUUAGGUUGCAGUUAGUGUCAUUAUGUAAAUAUUACUACUAGAAUGGGAAUAAUUAUAACAUUCAAGCUGGUGUUAAGUAAUAAAUUGGUACACAAAAUACAUGCAUUGCUGAUCUGUGAAGUACAUAAGAUAAGCAGCACUGCUGCUACACAGCCACCACUUAAGUACACAAUGCCUCUUAUUUGUUUAAACUGUAUAACAAUAAUUCAACUGUAAUAAUAAUGCUACCAAAACUGAGGAGGUAAUGUAUGGUGACUAAUUCCAACUCAUGACUCAUGUACUUCUCAGCAGUGUCAGCAAUAUAUUCAUUGAGGUUUUGUGUAUUAUUAAUUCUGUUUCUUUUUACAGGCUUGUAUGUCAUGAUUACUAAGUAUAGAUUUGAUUUGACAUGAUAAAAUGCUGCAACUACAACUUUACAUAAGGUUUAUAAACCAUAGUUAAAACAAUAAAAGCUACAGGUUUAUAUAU